Molecule: ribosomal RNA, 450 nt
Filed under: uncultured bacterium
Lineage: Bacteria
Description: partial 16S ribosomal RNA
Rfam family: Bacterial small subunit ribosomal RNA
Source: RNAcentral
GUGGGGAAUAUUGGACAAUGGGCGAAAGCCUGAUCCAGCCAUGCCGCGUGUGUGAAGAAGGUCUUCGGAUUGUAAAGCACUUUAAGUUGGGAGGAAGGGCAGUAAGUUAAUACCUUGCUGUUUUGACGUUACCGACAGAAUAAGCACCGGCUAACUUCGUGCCAGCAGCCGCGGUAAUACGAAGGGUGCAAGCGUUAAUCGGAAUUACUGGGCGUAAAGCGCGCGUAGGUGGUUUUGUAAGUUGGAGGUGAAAUCCCCGGGCUCAACCUGGGAACUGCCUCCAAAACUGGAUGACUAGAGUACGGUAGAGGGUAGUGGAAUUUCCUGUGUAGCGGUGAAAUGCGUAGAUAUAGGAAGGAACACCAGUGGCGAAGGCGACUACCUGGACUGAUACUGACACUGAGGUGCGAAAGCGUGGGGAGCAAACAGGAUUAGAUACCCUUGUAGUCC